CACGUAGGGGGCAAGCGUUGUCCGGAAUUAUUGGGCGUAAAGAGCUCGUAGGCGGCUCGGUAAGUCGGGUGUCAAAUCCUCAGGCUCAACCUGGGGCUCCACCCGAUACUGCUGUGGCUAGAGUCCGGUAGGGGAGCGUGGAAUUCCUGGUGUAGCGGUGAAAUGCGCAGAUAUCAGGAGGAACACCAGCGGCGAAGGCGGCGCUCUGGGCCGGAACUGACGCUGAGGAGCGAAAGCGUGGGUAGCAAACAGG
This 253-nucleotide ribosomal RNA is filed under the name uncultured bacterium. RNAcentral describes it as "partial 16S ribosomal RNA". It matches the Rfam family "Bacterial small subunit ribosomal RNA", at positions 524 to 776 of the family's 1533-position model. The record is from RNAcentral.